AUUGAACGCUGGCGGCAGGCCUAACACAUGCAAGUCGAGCGAGCGGCGGACGGGUGAGUAAUGUCUGGGAAACUGCCUGAUGGAGGGGGAUACAUACUGGAAACGGUAGCUAAUACCGCAUACCAUCAGAUGUGCCCAGAUGGUAUUAGCUGUUAGGUGGGGUAACGGCUCACCUAGGCGACGAUCCCUAGCUGGUCUGCGAGGAUGCCCAGCAACACGGGAACGGAGACACGGGCCAGACUCCUACGGGAGGCAGCAGUGGGGAAUAUUGCACAAUGGGCGCAAGCCUGAUGCAGCCAUGCCGAGUGUGUGAAGAAGGCCUUCGGGUUGUAAAGCACUUUCAGCGGGGAGGCGUUACCCGCAGAAGAAGCACCGGCUAACUCCGUGCCAGCAGCCGCGGUAAUUC
RNAcentral lists this ribosomal RNA (406 nucleotides) under uncultured bacterium. RNAcentral describes it as "partial 16S ribosomal RNA". It matches the Rfam family "Bacterial small subunit ribosomal RNA", at positions 30 to 526 of the family's 1533-position model. The record is from RNAcentral.